UACAGAGGUGGCAAGCGUUGUUCGGAAUUACUGGGCGUAAAGGGCGCGUAGGCGGCCUUUCUAAGUCAGACGUGAAAUCCCCCGGCUUAACCUGGGAACUGCGUCUGAUACUGGGAGCUUGAGUAUGGGAGAGGGAUGUAGAAUUCCAGGUGUAGCGGUGAAAUGCGUAGAUAUCUGGAGGAAUACCGGUGGCGAAGGCGGCUUUCUGGACGUAACUGGACGCUGAGACGCGAAAGCGUGGGGGAGCAAACAGG
RNAcentral lists this ribosomal RNA (254 nucleotides) under uncultured bacterium. Its description in RNAcentral is "partial 16S ribosomal RNA". It matches the Rfam family "Bacterial small subunit ribosomal RNA", at positions 524 to 776 of the family's 1533-position model. The record is from RNAcentral.